Non-coding RNA from Cricetulus griseus (Chinese hamster), 1039 nucleotides. The record is from RefSeq and is a predicted model, not a curated record. NCBI's taxonomy places the organism in Eukaryota, Metazoa, Chordata, Mammalia, Rodentia, Cricetidae.
GCCUAGGGCAAAGCUAAUACAGUGUUGUAGAGGAACUGACUCAAACUAUAGUCAUUGUUCCAACCACACACCGUUAUGUGGCCCACUGGCUGGUCAACCUGACAGGGCUGGAGCAAAGCUCUGUGGCAGGACACUGCAGGAUAGCCUGGCCACUCAGAGCACAUGUCCUGUGAUUCUGCAGACUGGAGCAGCCUGAUACAGCAGACCGGGGAAGGUCAUUUGAAGAUCGAGGCAGAAGCUGUCAUGAUUGCAUCACGGGCCAAACAACACCUGGACAGCCAGAAGCUCAAAGAGAGACAGCAUGUGUGUUGAAGAAAGCACCUCAUGGACUGAGAAGCCCACAGCUGAGCCUGAGUAAACUCACUUCAGAUCGUAUUCACUGGGGUUGAAGUCCUGCCGCCGGCAUGUGUCCUCCAGUACCUGGGGAUGAACGGACAGUAAGCCUAUGUGGACCAGAGAAUCACGGCAGACACACAGCCCAGCCCACCGAGCAUCCCACUCAACAGGUCCAAACAAAGCGUACCCACAAAUUUCGUCCGGUUUCCCCUUCCUACAGGGGACCCCUUCCUGACUUUCUCCUCAAACUGUGGCACAGCCUGUCCAUCCCUGGUCCCAUGCUCUGGGCUCUAGGUGGCCUCCAGCCAGAUACAACUGCCUUGCGGGGACUGCUUUGUGUCUCUGGCCACUCUGUGGCCUGGCAGCCUCUGUGCAACUGCUGCAUGACCCGAACCUUUCAAUGCAGGAGCCCAGCUGCAAACGGGUCCUGCUGGAGGGUUACGGGGCUGUACUACGUCCGGCAGAACCUCAUUUCGAACUGUGUUCCCCUGUGGGCUCCUGACACAGAUACGAACAGCGUGCACUUUUGCAACCGAACAGCAGAGGUUCGAUACACAGGUGUAAUUCACACGAGGUCACAAGCGGCGGCAGUCAGAAAAAAAAGCAGUGAAUGACUCAGCAAACUUCACUUCCGGACACACCGACAAGGCCGACCUAGGGUCCGGGGGGCGCCCCUGCUCUUCCCGGUGACCGAGAAGGCGGG